This 253-nucleotide ribosomal RNA is filed under the name uncultured bacterium. RNAcentral describes it as "partial 16S ribosomal RNA". It matches the Rfam family "Bacterial small subunit ribosomal RNA", at positions 524 to 776 of the family's 1533-position model. The record is from RNAcentral.
GACGAGCCACACAAACGUUAUUCGGAAUUACUGGGCUUAAAGGGUGCGUAGGCUGCGCGGAAAGUGGGGUGUGAAAUCCCUCAGCUCAACUGAGGAACUGCGCUCCAAACUACCGUGCUUAAGUGAGACAGAGGUAAGCGGAACUUCGGGUGGAGCGGUGAAAUGCGUUGAUAUCCGAAGGAACACCGGUGGCGAAAGCGGCUUACUGGGUCUCAACUGACGCUGAUGCACGAAAGCUAGGGUAGCAAACGGG